AUGGACAUGAACGCGGUGACACUAAUGCCCCGCCAUUUCAUAAGGUGGCGAUGGACUUGGGACGCUGAUGACGCGUUGGCGCCGCAGACAACAAACGCAGUUUUGGCUGUGCAUGACGAGACACCGGACUCAGCCAUGGAAGCCGUGAGGCACAUUGUGUUGACAAAGAACUAUGCUGAGCUAAUUGAUGAAGUGUGCAAGAGUGAUGAGACAGCGAGAGUCGCAGAAAAACACAGGAAGGCCCUGAAAAGAGAGCUUGAUGAGAUCAAGAAGAUGAAAGCUGAGGAAGCCUUACACAGGUUCCUCCGCACAUCAAGUGUGCCUUCGUCCACGGGGCCAUCAUCUGAAAACACGGAGAUAGGAUCUGGAACAGCAAGCACACAAACCCAGGUCAGGAACCCACCACGUUCCAUCACAAAGGGGCGUCCAAAAGAGAUAAGAUACAAAUCGGGAUUAGAGAUUCAAGCAAAACACAAGAAAAAAAGAAAGGGACGGGCAAUCCGUAAUCAACAUUGGGGCACUGUGACAUGGUCCUUGGUGACAUUUUAUUUUGUAAUCUAG
RNAcentral lists this ribosomal RNA (561 nucleotides) under Triticum aestivum (bread wheat). RNAcentral's name for it is "partial small subunit ribosomal RNA". Lineage: Eukaryota; Viridiplantae; Streptophyta; Magnoliopsida; Poales; Poaceae. The record is from RNAcentral.